Molecule: ribosomal RNA, 137 nt
Filed under: uncultured bacterium
Lineage: Bacteria
Description: partial 16S ribosomal RNA
Rfam family: Bacterial small subunit ribosomal RNA
Source: RNAcentral
UGAGGGAUAUUGGUCAAUGGGGGAAACCCUGAACCAGCAACGCCGCGUGAGGGAAGACGGUUUUCGGAUUGUAAACCUCUGUCCUCUGUGAAGAUGAUGACGGUAGCAGAGUAGGAAGCUCCGGCUAACUACGUGCC